Molecule: ribosomal RNA, 499 nt
Filed under: Alloalcanivorax dieselolei
Lineage: Bacteria; Pseudomonadati; Pseudomonadota; Gammaproteobacteria; Oceanospirillales; Alcanivoracaceae
Description: bacterial SSU rRNA
Rfam family: Bacterial small subunit ribosomal RNA
Source: RNAcentral
CUGGUCUGGCAGAUCCAAGCGCCGCAACUGUUUGGAGACGUUGAUCCUGGCUCAGAUUGAACGCUGGCGGCAGGCCUAACACAUGCAAGUCGAGCGGAAACGAUGGGAGCUUGCUUCCAGGCGUCGAGCGGCGGACGGGUGAGUAACACGUGGGAAUCUGCCCAUUAGUGGGGGAUAACUCGGGGAAACUCGAGCUAAUACCGCAUAAUCCCUACGGGGGAAAGCAGGGGAUCUUCGGACCUUGCGCUGAUGGAUGAGCCCGCGUCGGAUUAGCUUGUUGGUGGGGUAAUGGCCCACCAAGGCGACGAUCCGUAACUGGUCUGAGAGGAUGGCCAGUCACACCGGGACUGAGACACGGCCCGGACUCCUACGGGAGGCAGCAGUGGGGAAUCUUGGACAAUGGCGCAAGCCUGAUCCAUCCAUUCCGCGUGUGUGAAGAAGGCCUUCGGGUUGUAAAGCACUUUCAGUAGGGAGGAAGGCUUUGGGCUAAUACCCUGGA